AGACCCGAAACCCGGUGAUCUAGCCAUGGGCAGGUUGAAGGUUGGGUAACACUAACUGGAGGACCGAACCGACUAAUGUUGAAAAAUUAGCGGAUGACCUGUGGCUGGGGGUGAAAGGCCAAUCAAACCGGGAGAUAGCUGGUUCUCCCCGAAAGCUAUUUAGGUAGCGCCUCGUGAAUUCAUCUCCGGGGGUAGAGCACUGUUUCGGCUAGGGGGCCAUCCCGGCUUACCAACCCGAUGCAAACUGCGAAUACCGGAGAAUGUUAUCACGGGAGACACACGGCGGGUGCUAACGUCCGUCGUGAAGAGGGAAACAACCCAGACCGCCAGCUAAGGUCCCAAAGUCAUGGUUAAGUGGGAAACGAUGUGGGAAGGCCCAGACAGCCAGGAUGUUGGCUUAGAAGCAGCCAUCAUUUAAAGAAAGCGUAAUAGCUCACUGGUCGAGUCGGCCUGCGCGGAAGAUGUAACGGGGCUAAACCAUGCACCGAAGCUGCGGCAGCGAACGUAUCACCCA
Molecule: ribosomal RNA, 514 nt
Filed under: Salmonella enterica
Lineage: Bacteria; Pseudomonadati; Pseudomonadota; Gammaproteobacteria; Enterobacterales; Enterobacteriaceae
Also listed under: 2 other names
Description: partial 23S ribosomal RNA
Rfam family: Bacterial large subunit ribosomal RNA
Source: RNAcentral